GGAAUCGAGUCCCGUAAAUUGCAACGCAUGCCUAAUGUCUAUACGGUGCUAUGUGUGUGUUUGCGUGUCGUUCGGACGACCGAGGUGGGUUUUAGUCUCUUUUUUGGCUUUUUACAUAACUAUUGGUUCAUCGGGCAAACGGGCUGAUAACUCGGCAUCCGUAUAUCAGAAUCGAGUCCCGUAAGUUGCAACGCGUGCUUAAUGUCUAUACGGUGCUAUGUGUGUCUUUGCGUGUCGUUCGAACGACCGAGGCGGG
RNAcentral lists this long non-coding RNA (256 nucleotides) under Panax ginseng (ginseng). RNAcentral's name for it is "long non-coding RNA (PGIN_LNC002287)". The record is from RNAcentral. Lineage: Eukaryota; Viridiplantae; Streptophyta; Magnoliopsida; Apiales; Araliaceae.